Long non-coding RNA from Epinephelus moara (kelp grouper), 322 nucleotides. RefSeq lists it as uncharacterized. The transcript has 3 exons. NCBI's taxonomy places the organism in Eukaryota, Metazoa, Chordata, Actinopteri, Perciformes, Serranidae. The record is from RefSeq and is a predicted model, not a curated record.
CACCCUGGUGCUCUUUGUGUCUUGUUUACUAGGAGGGCUACGGGAAGGCCAGAGUCCACUGACUCUGGUGUGUCCCUCAAAAGUGAUCAAUCAAAAGCUGGAAUGAUUUUAUUUGAAGACAGCUCCCCUCUCAGCAGGUCUGACUUUUUGUCUUUCGAGGAGGAUGUUGUGUCAGAUGAAGAUUGGAUCAAAUCUUUGGACGACCUGAUGACUAAAAGAAACAAACUGUCCAUAGAGUCCUUUGACUCUGGUGUGUCCUUCAAGAGUAAUUUGUCAAAAGAUGGAUUGAUUGAUUUCAAAGAAGGAGUCUCUCCCAGGUAAG